Molecule: long non-coding RNA, 510 nt
Filed under: Sus scrofa (pig)
Lineage: Eukaryota; Metazoa; Chordata; Mammalia; Artiodactyla; Suidae
Description: lncRNA (ENSSSCG00015078360.1)
Source: RNAcentral
GGCUUGGUCCCGCGUGCCUGCUUAAAGCCCUCUGCAUCCCUGCCCUCGGCCAGUCUCCAGACGGCACGGACACCACAGGAUCGGCUGCAGCCCCCGUUCUCAGAGGGAAGCGGAGACCAUGUCGGACGUGGAGGAGACGGUGGACGAGUACGAGGAGGAGCAGGAAGGUAAGCGCUCACCUGUCACUCACUGGGCGGAGGGACAACCUGGCUUGAAACUGACCGUCUCUUCUCUUCUCCCUUGCGGCUGCACCUCCUCCUGGAGCAGAAGGAGCUGCAGAAGAAGAGGAAGCCUGGAGACAGGAUGGAGACGAGCAGGAGGAGGCAGUGGAAGAAGAGGCUGGAGGCGAGGCUGAGGCUGAGGAGGCCAACGCCGAAGAAGCUGGGCAGGAAGAGGAUGGGAGAGAGGCUGAAGGUGAGAACCACUGGGCGUCAGGCCUGGAGCCCCUCCAGCAGCUGUGGGGAGACACGGGGACUUGGGGAGGGAGGACAGAACUCGGUGACCAUGUGU